RNAcentral lists this ribosomal RNA (241 nucleotides) under uncultured bacterium. Its description in RNAcentral is "partial 16S ribosomal RNA". It matches the Rfam family "Bacterial small subunit ribosomal RNA", at positions 335 to 599 of the family's 1533-position model. The record is from RNAcentral.
ACUCCUACGGGAGGCAGCAGUGGGAAUCUUGGACAAUGGGGCACCGUCAUCAGCCAUGCCGCGUGAGUGAUGAAGGCCCUAGGGUCGUAAAGCUCUUUCGCCUGUGAAGAUAAUGACUGUAGCAGGUAAAGAAACCCGCGUAUAUCCGUGCCAGCAGCCGCGGUAAUACGGAGGGGUUAGCGUUGUUCGGAAUUACUGGGCGUAAAGCGCGCGUAGGCGGACUGGAAAGUUGGGGUGGAAU